RNAcentral lists this transfer RNA (98 nucleotides) under Paraburkholderia largidicola. Its description in RNAcentral is "Paraburkholderia sp. F2 tRNA-Lys". The record is from RNAcentral. Lineage: Bacteria; Pseudomonadati; Pseudomonadota; Betaproteobacteria; Burkholderiales; Burkholderiaceae.
CGCAUGCUCGCGAGAGAGCCGGAAGCGCGCGUGCUCAUUUUCAGCGUGCACGAAGAGACGCUUUUCGUGCGACGCGCGUUCGAUGCGGGCGCCUGCGG